Molecule: unclassified non-coding RNA, 230 nt
Filed under: plant metagenome
Description: partial contains small subunit ribosomal RNA, internal transcribed spacer 1, and 5.8S ribosomal RNA
Source: RNAcentral
UUUCCGUAGGUGAACCUGCGGAAGGAUCAUUCAUAAUAAAGUGUUUUAUGGCCCUUUUUAAAAAUCCAUAUCCACCUUGUGUGCUAUUUUAAGUCUCGCGUUCAAGCCAGUUUCGACUGUUCUGGGGCAGGGUCUUUAUAUAUCAACUCUCUCUUAAACCAUCAUGUCUGAAAAAUAUUAUGAAUACUUAAUUCAAAUUACAACUUUCAACAACGGAUCUCUUGGUUCUC